CCAGAAAGCACCACUACAGGUACCACAACACCCGAGAAUACAACAGACACUACAACGAUUGAAAGCACCACUACAGGUUCAUCAACAGCCAAAACCACAACAGACACUACGACAACAGAAAGCACCACCAAAGGUACCACAACAACAGAAAGCGCCACAACCGAGACCACAGCAGACACUACAACACCAGAUAGCACCACUACAGGUACUACAACAACAGAAAGCACAACAACAGAGACCAAAACAGACACAACAACACCAGACAGUACCACUACAGGUACCACAACAGCUGAGACCACAACAGACACUACUACAACAGAAAGCACCACCACAGGUGCCACAACAACAGAAAGCACCACUAAAGAUACCACAACACCCGAGACUACAACAGACACUACAACAAUAGAAAUCACCACCACAGCUGCCACAACAACAGAAAGCACCACAACCGAGACAACAAAGACACUACAACACCAGAAAGCACCACUACACGUCUUACAACAUUUGAGACUACAACAGAAACUACAACAACAGAAAGCACACCAACCGAAACCACAACAGACACUACAACAUCAGAAAGCACCACUACAGGUACCACAACUGCUGAGACCACAACAGACACUACUACAACAGAAAGCAUCACCAUAGGUGCCAUAACAACAGAAAGCACCACUACAGGUACUACCACAACAGUCGAGACUACAAUAGACAGUACAACAAUAGAAAUCACCACCACAGGUACCACAACGGUUGAGACCACAACCGAGACCACAACAGACACUAGAACACCAGAAAGUACCACUACAGGUACCACAACACCCGAGACUACAACAGACACUACAACGAUAGAAAGCACCACUACAGGUUCUACAAAAGCCGAAACCACAACAGACACUACGACAACAGAAAGCACAACCACAGGUACCACAACAACAGAAAGCACCACAACCGAGACCACAACAGACACUACAACACCAGAAAGCACCACUACUGGUACUACAACAGAAAGCACAACAACAGAGACCACUACAGACACCACAACAUCAGAAAGCACCACUACAGGUACCACAACUGCUGAGACCACAACAGACACUACAACGAUAGAAAGCACCACUACAGGUUCUACAACAGCCGAAACCACUACAGACACUACGACAACAGAAAGUGCAACCACAGGUACCACAACAACAGAAAGCACCACAACCGAGACCACAACAGACACCACAACACCAGAAAGCACUACUACUGGUAUCACAACAACAGAAAGCACCACAACCGAGACCACAACAGACACUACAACACCAGAAAGCACCACUACAGGUACUACAACAACAGAAAGCACAACAACAGAGACCACAACAGAGACCAUAACAGACACAACAACACCAGAAAGUACCACUACAGGUACCACAAGAACAGAAAGCACCACAACCGAGACCACAACAGACAAUACAACACCAGAAAACACCACUACAGGUACUACGACAACAGAAAGCACAACAACAGAGACCACUACAGACACUACAACACCAGAAAGCACCACUACUGGUGCCACAACUGUAGAGACUACAACAGAAACUACAACAAUAGAAAGCACCACCACAGGUACCACAACAACAGAAAGCAGCACAACCGAGGCCACAACAGACACCACAACACCAGAAAGCACUACUACUGGUAUCACAACAUCAGAAAGCACCACAACUGAGACCACAACAGACACUACAACACCAGAAAGCACCACUACAGGAACUAAAACAACAGAAAGCACAACAACAGAGACUACAACAGACACAACAACACCAGAAAGUACCACUACAGGUACCACAACAACAGAAAGCACCACAACCGAGACCACAACAGACACUACAACACCAGAAAGCACCACUACAGGUACUACAACAACAGAAAGCACCACAACAGAGACCACUAUAGACACUACAACAAUAGAAAGCACCACUACUGGUGUGACAACUGUCGAGACUACAACAGAAACUACAACAAUAGAAAGCACCAGCACAGGUACCACAACAACAGAAAGCACCACAACCGAGGCCACAACAGACACCACAACACCAGAAAGCACUACUACUGGUAUCACAACAACAGAAAGCACCACAACCGAGACCACAACAGACACUACAAAACCAGAAAGCACCACUACAGGUACUACAACAACAGAAAGCACAACAACAGAGACCACAACAGACACAACAACACCAGAAAGUACCACUACAGGUACCACAACAGUCGAGACUACAAUAGACAGUACAACAAUAGAAAUCACCACCACAGGUACCACAACGGCUGAGACCACAACCGAGACCACAACAGACACUACAACACCAGAAAGCACCACUACAGGUACUACAACAAUAGAAAGCACAACAACAGAGACCACAACAGACACUACAACACCAGAAAGCACCACUACUGGUGCCACAACUGUCGAGACUACAACAGAAACUACAACAAUAGAAAUCACUACCACAGGUACCACAACGGCUGAGACCACAACCGAGACCACAACAGACACUACAACACCAGAAAGUACCACUACAGGUACCACAACACCUGAGACUACAACAGACACUACAACGAUAGAAAGCACCACUACAGGUUCUACAACAGCCGAAACCACAACAGACACUACGACAACAGAAAGCACAACCACAGGUACCACAACAACAGAAAGCACCACAACCGAGACCACAACAGACACUACAACACCAGAAAGCACCACUACAGGUACUACAACAACAGAAAGCACAACCACAGGUACCACAACAACAGAAAGCACCACAACCGAGACCACAACAGACACUACAACACCAGAAAGUACCACUACAGGUACCACAACAGAAAGCACCACCACAGGUACCACAACAACAGAAAGCACCACAACCGAGACCACAACAGACACUACAACACCAGAUAGCACCACUACAGGUACUACAACAAACAGAAAGCACAACAUCAGAGACCACAACAGACUCAACAACACCAGAAAGUACCACUACAGGGUACCACAACAGUUGAGACAACAAUAGAUACUACAACAACAGAAAGCACCACGACCGAGGCCACUACAGAAACUACAACACCAGAUAGCACCACUACAGGUACUACAACAACAGAAAGCACAACAACAGAGACCACAACAGACACAACAACACCAGAAAGUACCACUACAGGUACCACAACACCCGAGACUACAACAGACACUACAACGAUUGAAAGCACCACUACAGGUUCAACAACAGCCGAAACCACAACAGACACUACGACAACAGAAAGCACCACUACAGGUAACACAACAACAGAAAGCACCACAACCGAGACCACAACAGACACUACAACAACAGAAAGCACCCACCACAGGUACCACAACAACAGAAAGCACCACAACCGAGACCACAACAAGACACUACACACCAGAUAGCACCACUACAGUACUACAACAACAGAAAGCACACAACAGAGACCACAACAGACUCAACAACACCAGAAAGUACCACUACAGGUACCACAACAGUUGAGACAACAAUAGAUACUACAACAACAGAAAG
Molecule: long non-coding RNA, 3569 nt
Filed under: Carassius auratus (goldfish)
Lineage: Eukaryota; Metazoa; Chordata; Actinopteri; Cypriniformes; Cyprinidae
Description: lncRNA (ENSCARG00000066479.1)
Source: RNAcentral